This is a long non-coding RNA of Cyprinus carpio carpio, 867 nucleotides long. NCBI's taxonomy places the organism in Eukaryota, Metazoa, Chordata, Actinopteri, Cypriniformes, Cyprinidae. The record is from Ensembl.
AUGAUGUCAUCAUCUUUGGAUCUUAGGUUCUCUUUGCUGUCUAUCCCAACAUGCACACCUCAUUGCUCUUCCUGUUAUAUCUCUCAAGAAUGCUUCUUUCUCAUGAUGAAUGUUCAUGUAUUAGCCUGUCAGCCAGAUGGACAGCAGAAGUCUUUAAUCUCUCCCUCUCUCACUCUCUCUCUCAGCCCAGUUCCCCCUCCUGCCGCAGGAGUCUUUGUGGAGCCCGUCAGUCAGGUCAUCAGAGAGACAUUCAGCACAGACACGGAGCAGAAGAUUUAUAGCUGUGAGGUGAGAGCAGAUCAUGGGCUGCUUGAGCAAAGAGGAACAAGAAAACCAGAAAGCACCUACUGAGAAGUACUCAAAGAGAUUUAAUAAACAGAAGUAAAACACUGAACUGAAAUACUGUGAAAUACUGUGCACAAAGUUAAAGAAAGUUCAUAAAUUUGGUCCCUUCAUACUUUGGGACAUAUGCCAAAGAACAUAAUCUAAAGCUGAUUUUAUAUCGAUAUGUACUGUAGGGUGGGCUACAUUUUUAUGUUCACUCAGGAUUCACUCAUCAGCAUUUGGAAACCAUGACUUUUCUCUGACUGGUGUGGUGAGCAAGUAAUUUUUUUGUGUGUGGAUUCCUUUUGUGUCACGUUGCAUGAGAGCAUAAAUGAACAAAACAGAAAUAAAAUAUGGAAUCGUCUUGAUUUCAGAGCUACACGUGCCCGGAUGUCCACCUCACCAGCACCACAUUUCCUCCACUCCCAUACAUGACAGUCAAAAAUCUUUCCUGUGUUGAGAAAAAAAAAGGCUCUCUUGCUCAAUUUGUGCCAACUGCUCAUUAGAUCGAGUACCAGGACCGUGAGGUGUUAGAUGAAUCGC